AUGGGUUCAUGGCCGUGGCGCGGCGCAUGGACCGCGCUGGUGCGAUGUGGCCACGCCACCUACACCGCGCCGGUCCUUCCCCGUGGGCGCAUCUUCACGAAGCAAGUGGUAGGACGAGUCGCCGACGGCUCGGGGUUCAUGGCGGACCUGUCGACUCUCAAGGUACACUCCAAGCUGGUGAGCCGCGCGGGGGCGCCCGUGCCGGCGAAUGGUCCGAGUGAGAUCCGGCUGGUGGAGGCGGCGGUCGCGGCGAGGUGCGGCUACAAGUGUCCUACUUGGUUGCGACGGUACGCCGCUUCGAUCACGCUGGCUAGGAGGGACCAGAUCCAGUACGAGGAGACCAAGCCAUGGAGGAGCGCGGAGGUGGCCGUGAAUCUAGGAGGAGGUGGCGGGGACAGGGCGCCGUACAACUGCCCGGCGAUGAUACGCGCAUCCGAAGAGGUUGAGGUGCUGUUUGAGGAUGUCUUUGGUCAUGCGUUUGAUGGAGUGAAGGUGCUACUUCAGGAUUCUUUUGUUUCCGCAUCUGAUAGCAAGGGCCCCAAGAAUAAUCUGAAGUGUAGAUCAUUUAUUGUUUAUACUCCUUGCUCACCUUCAAGGUUUCUACCUGAGAAGUUUGGAGGCAACUCACAUGGAUUUCAUUACAUUGGUAACUUUGCUGAUGCUACAGUUAUGAAUGUUGAACUUUGUUGUGAGAAGCAAUUCAAUAAGUUGGACCUAGGGCCUCCAAAUUUUGACAGCAUCUGUGGAAUUAUACUGGCACAAAAGGAUAUGGUGUUGGAUCUUUCGGAUGCUAGCAAGGGGAGCAUCAAAUGCAUUCACUUUACCGUUCCGAAGUUACAAGUUCAUGAUCCUUUGAUAUCCAUUCUAAUGUAUCAGAGAAAACUGCUGAACAAGAUGUUCUCUUCACGCCAUGUCUUAUCUCAGUUGCAAUAUUAUAGAUUUUUUUCAUCAAGGAAGCUGAGAAAUGCAAUGAAUCAAAUCGAAGAUUUGAAGGCAAGGAACAUAGCCAUUCUGUGUUUGGAUGAUGGUUUCAAAGAAGUCUUAUUAAGCUUCAAAAGUGUAAUAGCGCAAAUGCGCCAGAAUUCUUAUGAUUAUGGCAAACGUGUUGAUCUCUCCAAGCGUUAUGGACCUGGCUGCAAGGUGUACACAGCAGGAGGAGCUGGCGCAUCCAUGUAA
RNAcentral lists this ribosomal RNA (1176 nucleotides) under Triticum aestivum (bread wheat). Its description in RNAcentral is "partial small subunit ribosomal RNA". The record is from RNAcentral. Lineage: Eukaryota; Viridiplantae; Streptophyta; Magnoliopsida; Poales; Poaceae.